RNAcentral lists this ribosomal RNA (280 nucleotides) under [Lactobacillus] rogosae. RNAcentral describes it as "Lactobacillus rogosae partial 16S ribosomal RNA". It matches the Rfam family "Bacterial small subunit ribosomal RNA", at positions 524 to 814 of the family's 1533-position model. The record is from RNAcentral. Lineage: Bacteria; Bacillati; Bacillota; Clostridia; Lachnospirales; Lachnospiraceae.
UACGUAUGGAGCAAGCGUUAUCCGGAUUUACUGGGUGUAAAGGGAGUGUAGGUGGCCAGGCAAGUCAGAAGUGAAAGCCCGGGGCUCAACCCCGGGACUGCUUUUGAAACUGCAGGGCUAGAGUGCAGGAGGGGCAAGUGGAAUUCCUAGUGUAGCGGUGAAAUGCGUAGAUAUUAGGAGGAACACCAGUGGCGAAGGCGGCUUGCUGGACUGUAACUGACACUGAGGCUCGAAAGCGUGGGGAGCAAACAGGAUUAGAUACCAGUCCGGCUGACUGACU